GAAGGAAAGAACUACCAGGACACAGUGUUGGAUAUCAAGAGCUACAUGGUACAGAUAGGGGUACCCAUCAGGUAUAUGCAGUAUGACGUAACGUUGUACAGUGACCUUGACAAUGGUGUUGUCACGUGGUCGUCUCCACCUGGCGUUUUCCCCAAUGGACCUCAGUGGCUUUAUAACAAGACAGAGAUACCCGUCUUUGGCUACAACCCGUU
Haliotis rubra (blacklip abalone) is the source of this 212-nucleotide long non-coding RNA. RefSeq lists it as uncharacterized. The record is from RefSeq and is a predicted model, not a curated record. The transcript has 3 exons. Lineage: Eukaryota; Metazoa; Mollusca; Gastropoda; Lepetellida; Haliotidae.